CCUACGGGAGGCAGCAGUGGGGAAUAUUGGGCAAUGGAGGAAACUCUGACCCAGCAACGCCGCGUGAAUGAUGACGGUCUUCGGAUUGUUAAGUUCUUUUCUCAGGGAAGCAGCAAGCGACGGUACCUUCGGCAUAAGCCUUGGCUAACUACGUGCCAGCAGCUGCGGUAAUACGUAGGAGGCGAGCGUUAUCCGGAAUGACUGGGUGUAACGGGUGCGUAGGUGGUUUGGCAAGGUAGUAGCGUAACUCCAAGGCUCAACCUAGGAACUACUACUAAAACUGUUGGACUUGAGUGCAAGAGAGGCAACCGGAAUGCGUGGUGUAGCGGUGAAAUGCGUAGAUAUUAGGAGGAACACCGGUGGCGAAGGCAGGUUGCUAGACUGUAACUGACGCUGAGGCACGAAAGCGUGGGGAGCGAACAGGAUUAGAUACCCGGGUAGUC
Molecule: ribosomal RNA, 443 nt
Filed under: uncultured bacterium
Lineage: Bacteria
Description: partial 16S ribosomal RNA
Rfam family: Bacterial small subunit ribosomal RNA
Source: RNAcentral